This 1369-nucleotide unclassified non-coding RNA is filed under the name uncultured Neocallimastigales. RNAcentral's name for it is "partial contains small subunit ribosomal RNA, internal transcribed spacer 1, 5.8S ribosomal RNA, internal transcribed spacer 2, and large subunit ribosomal RNA". The stretch from base 614 to 1369 matches the Rfam family "Eukaryotic large subunit ribosomal RNA", at positions 1 to 617 of the family's 3401-position model. Lineage: Eukaryota; Fungi; Neocallimastigomycota; Neocallimastigomycetes; Neocallimastigales. The record is from RNAcentral.
UUUCCGUAGGUGAACCUGCGAAGGAUCAUUAAUAAAUUUUUUUUUGAAAUAAAAAAAAAUAAUAAUCAUCCUACCCUUUGUGAAUUUGUUUUGUUGAAUAAUUUUUUAAAAUUAUUUAUUGUCUAUCCAAGUUGGAAAGUUGUAAAAGACUGGAAGACUUGGAGCGGCAUAAAUAAAUUUAAAGACUUUUUUUCUAAAAUUAAACUUUUUGUAUUCAUUUGUCUAAAAUAAUUUUUAUAAUAUAUAAAAACAACUUUUGACAAUGGAUCUCUUGGUUCUCGCAACGAUGAAGAACGCAGCAAAAUGCGAUAAGUAAUGUGAAUUGCAGAAUACGUGAAUCAUCGAAUCUUCGAACGCAUAUUGCACUUUUUAGUUUACUAAAAAGUAUGUCUGUUUGAGUAUCAGUAAAAUAUUCUCAUAAAAUUUUUUAAUUUUAUGGUUAUGAGUGUUUUACAACGAUAAACAAGUUGUUUCACUUUAAAUUGAAUUUUUUGAAGAAAUUCUUUAAUUCAAAUUAAAUUUGGAUAAAAUUUUCCCGUAAAAAGGAAUAACUAUACAAGUUUAAUAAGAAUUUAGUGAUUUCUUUUAUGAAGAGGAAAUUUAUUAAAUAACUUGAUCUCAAAUCAGAUAAGAGUACCCGCUGAACUUAAGCAUAUCAAUAAGCGGAGGAAAAGAAACUAACAAGGAUUCCCCUAGUAACGGCGGGUGAAGCGGGAAGAGCUCAAAUUUGAAAUCUUAAAGGGUUUCCCUUUACGAAUUGUAGUUUAAAGAAGUGUUUUCUGUUGAGGUUUUGGUAAAAGUUCUUUGGAAUAGGACAUCAUAGAGGGUGAGAAUCCCGUAUUUGACCUUUACUUUCAACUUUGUGAUACACUUUCAAAGAGUCGGAUUGUUUGGGAAUGCAGUCCAAAAUGGGUGGUAAAUUUCAUCUAAAGCUAAAUAUUGGCGAGAGACCGAUAGCGAACAAGUACCGUGAGGGAAAGAUGAAAAGAACUUUGAAAAGAGAGUUAACAGUACGUGAAAUUGUCAAAAGGGAAGCGUUUGACACCAGUGUUGUUUUUCUGAAAAUCAAUUAAAGAACUGUUUAUGCUAAGUUGUUUAGACUUUAUCAGCUAACUGUUUAGUUUUGAGCCUUUCUUUAAUGCACUUUUCAGUUAACAAGUCAACAUCAAUUUCUUUUGCUGUAAAAAGCUUGAGGAAGGUGGCUUGAGAUUCGUCUUAAGUGUUUAUAGCCUCUUGCCUAUGCAGUCGGUGAGAUUGAGGUCUGCAGCGUAGAUCCUUCGGGGCUAAAUGCAUUUGUGCUAAGUUAUAGCAUUUUAUAGACAACUUGUUGACUAUGAUUUGUCUUGUAGCUUACUCGCUUAUGUUAUUU